This 402-nucleotide small RNA is filed under the name Pongo abelii (Sumatran orangutan). RNAcentral's name for it is "processed transcript". Lineage: Eukaryota; Metazoa; Chordata; Mammalia; Primates; Hominidae. The record is from RNAcentral.
CCUCACUUGCAGCAGAACAUUUGGAAGAAGUGAUGAAGAAGCUGACACCUGAACUAUUUGAUAGCCAGCCUGACCUCCUGCACCAACUUGUCACCCUCAUGAAUCCCAACACCCUCAUGUCCCAUGGUGUGCCAGAGUACCCCAGAUCAAGCACCCUAUUCUGGUGGAAGUUCGGGGAGGCAGAGGCAGCACCAAGAAGAUGUAGCUUCUACUCUUGGCAUAUAGUGAAAAGAACUAGACGCAUCUCGAUUGAAAACCACAUACCAUUCUCUGCUAUACCCUUUACCAGCAACCUUGCUUAAGUCGAUUUACUUCAUUGUCAGUUUUCCCAUCUGAAAAAUGGGAUUAUGAUAAUGCUUAUCUUUUUGGAUAGUUGAUUGUAUUAAAGAUAAUGUUUGCUUA